CUCGGCUUUCGCGCCACACAGAACGCCCCUCUCACGCGCGUUUAUAGUAUGCGCGGGAAGCGCGCGGCCACAGACAGGACGCUAAAGCGAUUUUCGCCCAUUUCACUCACCUCGUUCCUUAAAGGGUCGAGCUUGUAGACGUUCUGCAGCUGAUUUCUUAGCCGCAUAGCUAUCGCCAUCGGACCUUGUUCCGCCAUCUUUGGGAAUUCUGCAUACUUCCGGGUAACGGGAGAGUGGACAUCUGAUGGGGUCAGCGCACAUCUGAGUGACAGCACCUUACUCCAUAUACAAAUCAUGCCUUUGGGGCGGACAGAGGACAACCGCAAGCUCUGACGAUAGCUGAACGCAUCAAAGAGAAAAGACAGAAAUGCCGAACCCUUUGGCGCACAGUGGCAUUUAUUUCUUCGCCUUAUCUCAGACGGUUUAUGGACAGUAAGACCUUCUCUUGUUGCCUUUUGUCUAGACACAUAUCAAAUCCUUCCAGCUUCUCUCCCUAGUAUCUAAAAUAAAAUAACAGUCUGAUUGUUUCACCUGCCAGCCAAAGGCUAUCAAAGUGAAGAAGAUAAGGUAAACUAAUGUCCAAUAACUAGAGUCAUUUCCAUUGGAUAGAGUUCAGUUCAGAGCAAGAUACGAGAGGGGUGUUACAGAAGGUUUAAUGAAAACAUGUCACUAAAAUCACAGAGUGAUACAAUACGUUUCUUGUUGAGAUUCAUUCAUGUGAGGGAGAACAAGAACAUGUUUUACUAAAGCAAUUGCAAUUGCCGACCGCCUUUACCCUGAACUGAAGCCAUAUCUUGAUAAGUGGAAACAAUCCGUCUCAUUGAUUCAUUAAAAAGCUGCUUUAUUUUCCUCACUGUUAAGAUGUGUUAAAACACACACAGGAUGACUGAAGAUAUGUAAGCAGGAGCUUUAUCAAAACAACUCAGUUCUGUAUUUAAGUUAUUUCCUUUUGAUUAGAAUUGGAGCAAAUGGUCUUAGCCCAAAAUUAGAAAUGAAUUGUCCAAAGGGAUUCCACAACACUUAUCUGAGAUGCUAUUUCCUACUGAAUUAAGGGAUUUAGUAUGUCUCCUGUUGGCGAAAAAAAAAAGGAGAAAAGAAAAAGAAAAGACUGUCAUGCUGAUUUCAGUGCCCCUAGCCUAGACCUGUUCACCUAAAGCUCCAAAAACAACCAAACAAACAUCUAUAACGGGGAGGAGGCUCGCCUGCCAAGUCAUGCCAAAGUGAGGCUCUCUGUUUGGGGCACACAGACUUUUGCCUCCCCCUGUCCCAGAGCAAUCAGAGCAUGUAGGGACGGACACCGAGCUUUUUGUUUUCGCCUGCUCCAGCAAUUAGCUGCCAAGUGGCAAGCUAAUGAAGAUAACCCCCUCCAAGAGCCCUGAUCAGCUGCCAGGAAGCUGACGACAGCUCAAAACACAAAGACUCUUACGGGAAGAAGAGGGGGUAGUUUGGGAUCAUUUUAUUGUCAUUUCUUUUUAUAAAACGGAUUGUUAAAAUUCUGAUCAGUCAAGCCAUGUUUAAAGCGUCAUAACAUAAUACAACAUGCACAUACCUGUGGCUGCACAUCAUUGAUGCAUCAGUUGCAGAAACAGGUUACGGUUAACUAUAUUGGUGGAUAUUAAUAAUAUUAAUGUUAAUAAAUCUAACAAUUUACUGAAAUACUGUUUUUAUAGCUUUUACUAAUUUUUUAAGCUUCUCAAGGCUGUGAGUUACAGCUUAUUGCUUUUAUUAAUAUUAGUCAUAGGAAUUUUGAGGUAUGUGAAAGAUGGUAUUCUUACUUACAAUUCAUUGUUGACGUGCAGUAAAUACUGGCUGAUAUAAUAAUUCCUUAAAAUUACAAUAUUGCUCUUUUUGUAUGUAGUUGAUUUAAAAAAAAAAAACAACUUGUCAAAUGUAACACAAAAUAUUGACAUUGCUUCAAUUUCCUAAAUUAGAAAUGUGAGUAUUAACAGCCUCUUUAAAUCUGUAGUUGGAGUCACUGAACUCCAUCAGCUACCUGAUAAGUUAAUUGACUUACAGGCUGUUAAAUAGUGAAUGAGGAACUGGGUUAUAUUUCUGUGACCUGGUUAACUGAACUGACAUAGAGUGCACAAUGAAGAACAGACUUGACAACACGUUUCACCAUACUUCCGUGAUGUUCUACAUCUAAUGUUUCGAUCCUUUAUUUAAAUAUUUUUAUACUUUAUGCUGGUUAUGGUAUGUUCACUCAAAACAAGAUGAUACAUAAAGAUUAGCAAUUGUUUUAAAUAUAAUUAGCAGACAGUUUUUCCCACCAGAGGGUGCUAGUGCGGAGGAUGGAGGCCUUCUGGGCAGCCGAUAGUCCAUCAUUCGGUAACUGCAGUUAACCUAGACAAAGUGCCCAUGUCUGUAUGUCUUAUUCUCUAAUGACUGGCAAUAUUCCCGUAAUUUGGGUGUGCCAGCAUACCUUGUCUGGUACAAUCUGAAGCUGUUCAACCCUUUGGGAUCAAGAGAGUGAAGGGAACAAGCUCUGAAGGGAAUUUUUGUUGGUUGGUACACAUACAAGAGGAGUACUAUAGAUUAAACUCUACAUGCCAUGCAGUACUGCAGAGAACGAUCGGUCAUUUUGUAAAAGAAAAAAAAAAUUAUAUACUUUUUAACCACAAAUGCUCGUCUUGCUCUAGCUCUGCGAUGUGCUGCGCAAUACAUAAUCACGUUGGAAAGGUCACGUGUGAAGUAGGCGGAAGUACUGCUUCAGACUGUAAGGUGAAAAACUCAUAACUCAAAUCUCAUUUUCUCCUCCAAUUUCAAAAUCGUCCGACAUCGUUGCUUUAUGUUGCCAUUUGACUUAGUCUUUGCACAUUUGCUUUGUAGACACUAGAUCGAUACUUCCACCUACGUCACGUGUAGGUGAUUCCAACAUGAUUACAUAAUGUGUGGAGCAUCGCAGAGCAGUCCAAGAUAAGCAUUUGUGGUUAAAGUAUAUACAUUUGUAUUUUUUUAGAAAAUGACCGAUCGUUUCGUUAGACAAGACCCUUAUUCCUCGGCUGGGAUCGUGAAUUGAAGCUGCAUUGAAACUGCAAUUUGGACAUUUUUAACUCGUUAUACCCCAGUGAAGUUCACUAUAUAGAGAAAAAUCCUGGAAUGUUUUCCUCAAAAACCAAUUUCUCAAUUUCUUUUCGACUGAAGAAAGACAUAAACAUCUGGGAUGACAUGGGGGAAUACAUCUUUAUAUGAACAAUUGAAAUGAAUGACUACAAGUUUGGCGGUCCAGCAUCUACUGGAUAAUGGACAGGAUUUCAUUGCACCAUGUCAAAGACUCGCAUAUUGUAUGAAGGGGAUUCUUUAAAUGGACUUCUCAGUGCCCCAUGUGACCCCACAGGACUCCAUUACAGUGGAUAUGUGUGCAUUCUGUUUUCAUGGUAAUGUUUCAAAGCAGAGUGGAUUGGGGUUGGGUACACAUGAUGGCCCUCUCUGAUUUCACCCUCUGGAGAAUGUACUCAGGUGGUCCUAUCAGGUGUGAAACUGACUGCGGUAAAGACAGGGGAUUUGUCAAGACAAGCUGGAACCAUGCCCAGAGUGAGGGGGUUGAAGGCUUUUUAGGUUUUCUUUUAAAAUGUCACAAUGCUGUCAUUCACUAAGUGUGGUUGAUUGCAAGCAGACCGGACUCAUUUUCUGAUAUUCUAAACUUCCCACAGGUAGACAGAGGAAGAGUUCACAGCAAGCAUUAAGGAUCCAUUUUGGACCCAUCUCUGUCUGGUUCAGACUUUGAAUGACACCUUCAAUAGCAGAAACCAGAAUGACCUCUGGGUGCAGAGAUACUGACAAGAUUAUUUUUUGUCCAUUUAAUUAAAACUAAACCCUGUAUAAUUCAGAAUUAUUAAAAACUCUUUUUUCCAAUAAAUCAUUCAUUUAAAUCAAUGACAGGUCUGGGGCUGUUGUCGGCAAAAGACUGAGCUUUUUGGUCUCAGCUGAACUGGCAUGGCAUUCACGCCCGAAACUCCUGUUUGUUCAGAGGAGCAGCAGCCGUGCUAGCCUGGCAAGGCUUCACAUUCCUUCAGAACUGGCUCAUUCUGGACAGGGCCCAAUAUAAAGUAAAUUUGAACAGAGAAGUACCUUUCACAGGUGUUAAGACUGAUACAGCAGCCAGUUCAGAUGGGUUCUCCUGAAAGGAAUCAACUAAAUGUAAACCUCUUGGAGAUGCUGUGCUGGAACUUUCUCAGUGGUCAGUGGGUUUGACCUGCAUUGUUUUGGGUGGUUCAGACUCCAAAACAAUAUUGUGCAAGACUCUAAAAGAUGUUUUUAACAAAGUUCAGGGUUCAGGGAUGGAGGCAGGAACGGACAAACGAUGAUGAUGAACGAUAAACAUAAUGUCCCAGGCUGCAGAAUCUGAUUUCACCAAGUGCAACAUGUUCCUGGAUCAACAUCUUUGUUGAUCCUGGAACAACAUUCCAAUCAACCGAUCAGAUUUGUGAGACAAAUCAAGUUUAGGCUUAAGUUUAGGUGCUUCUACAUCAAUGUUAUUCAGCUAUCAUUUCCCUCUGAUUUUAGGGAUAAGUUAUGGGUAGGGUUAGGUUUAGAAGUAUGGAAAGGGUUUUGGACAGAAAUGUUGUUCCAGGAUCAACAAAAUAUGUUGGAACUUUCAAAAUCAGGACGUGUGUCCCAGGCCUUGGUCCUCUCUCGUAUUGCACUGUCAUUUCUCCUCCUUUUAUCUUUCCAGAGCUCCUCUGUGGGAUUCAAGAAAGGUGUGGUGCACCGGUGACGCUCAUUAACACUUCGCUUCGUUCCCACAGCUCACGGGGCCUACUCUGUCCCCUCACCGACGACAGCCGCCCCUCUGGAACCCAGGUGGACAGCAGCGAGUUUAUCCAUCCCCCAGCAAGUCACUCCAGCACCACCGCCUUGGGCAGCCACUAGCUGUCACCGCUCCUUCAUACUGCCCGACCUCCAUAGCACCGCGAUCCCCCUCAGUAGCGAGGGCUCUCCGACAGUGUGUCCCUCCUUCCUCCCGGGUUUUGGCACCAAUGUAAUAUGAUGUUCAUGUUAAGGGAAGAAGAAGGUGGGAACCGGCAAACAAACAACGUAAACUAUAAUAACACAAACACAAAUAACCACAACAAAAUGAGUGUAAAGCAGCAACCCUUCACGGAUGACUGCCACAUAAACUAAAACAAGCUUGGUCCUCUCUCAUCUUGCACUGUCGUCACUCUUCUUUUUGUCCUUCUGGAGCUCUUCUGUGGAACUCAAGACCAGUGUAUCGAACAGGUGACGCUCAUUAACAUUUUGAUGUGGGUCUGCAUUUCUAGGUGGAUACAUAUCUGGCUGUUAUACCACUGUGGAUGGAGUUUGCUCCAUACAAAUAUCCGUUUUUGAAUAGUUAUUCCAUGUCUCUUACGUGCUCUAGCUGGUAUCCUUGGGUAGAUAUCAAGCAAUUAAUUUUUUCAGAGUUGAGAUUGGACUUUGCAAUUAAUCAAUUUUAUUCUUGCAAAUAAUAAAUGUGUUGCUUGAUAGGUGAUGGAUUGUUUUUUUUCAAUGUUCUGAUAGCAGUGCAAGGGAAAUUGCAUGUUUUGGAGCCUUCAGGAUAAAUCAGGUUUAGGUUUACCCAAAGAUUGUAACGUGAUACACCAGUUUCCGCUGUAAUUACUGAAUGGCUGGAUGUUCCGUCAUUGUUAUCUGCCAUGGCUGUUUGAGAUCAUGCUUUAAGAUGGUAAGAGGCCAUGUGCAAAUCUAGCCCCACCAGGCCAUGCCUAAGCAGUCAGAAGGGCUCACCUAACAGCUCACAAUGACUUGAGAGACGCCAGCACCCGAUAAACCUUGACCGCCCGUGAGACGCCCACAAAACAUGUCGCAAGCUGGCAGAGGCAGAUAGUGGCCGUCUUUGAAGAUUCAGUUAUGUUCAUUCUGAGUUAUGCUUUUGGCUCUUGAGGAAAGCUUUGAUAGAGUUACAAAAAAGACAGGCAAACCCUUAUACCCGCGCUACAUUAAGGAGAGGAUUGUUUUGGAGACUGUAUUCUUAUGUCUGGUCUUCUUUCAGCCAACAUGCAGGCAUUCUUUCAUCUUUGGGUUACAUCUUUUUGUUGGUAGCAUGCAAUGUUACUGUGCUGUUCUCAACUAUGCUAGAAAGAGUAAGAGGGAGACAGACAACGGGAAUUCAUUCAAUUUUGUAUUGCAUUUCUGAGUAUUUCUGUUCCAAACAGGAUGCUGACCCUCAUCAUUUAGAUCAAAGAAGAUUAAAAGUUCUUUUUGAUUUGCAUAGUACUUCUUCAUAGCAGGGAAAUAGGAAUGAUCUGAAAAGUAUGUUUGGAUCAGGGUUGUGCACCUUUCAGAAUUGUUGAGAAUUUGAACUGAAUUUGAACUGAGGUACGGAACAGGAUGCUAAGUUGCAAUUCGAAUUUGAAUUUAGGAUUAAAGUAAUUAAAAUUCAAAGAAAUUCAUAUUUAGUUUUUUACUAGUCAAGGAAGACUAGAAUCUUUGAAUGUUUGAUAAAGCCUUGUUUGAAAGUUUUUGGGCCCUAUCAUACUCCCAGCGCAAUGCGGCACGACGCAAGUGUUUUUUUGCUCGUUUCAGCCUAACGCAGUUAUCAUUUUCACGUCCUGCGCCACGUUGUUUAAAUAGCAAAUGCAUUUGCACCCAUUUGUGUGCCCAUGGGCAUGCUGGCCUGAAAAUGAGGUGUGUCCAGGCGCAUUGUUGGCGCGUUACUAUUUUGAGGCAACUGAAAUAGACUGCACCAUUGGCCAACAAAAACCUGGUCUAGAGUUAAUGGCGCAAUAUUUGUUUUGUUAUUUAAAGAGCGUGCUAGUAAUAUGCCUAUAUGCGGGUGCACAACACGCGUACACUCUGCUUAUUACACCCACAGGGACAC
Molecule: long non-coding RNA, 6817 nt
Organism: Ctenopharyngodon idella (grass carp)
Lineage: Eukaryota; Metazoa; Chordata; Actinopteri; Cypriniformes; Xenocyprididae
Exons: 4
Source: RefSeq, a predicted model, not a curated record